RNAcentral lists this ribosomal RNA (465 nucleotides) under uncultured bacterium. Its description in RNAcentral is "bacterial SSU rRNA". It matches the Rfam family "Bacterial small subunit ribosomal RNA", at positions 329 to 792 of the family's 1533-position model. The record is from RNAcentral.
UCCCAGACUCCUACGGGAGGCAGCAGUGAGGAAUAUUGGUCAAUGGUCGGGAGACUGAACCAGCCAAGCCGCGUGAGGGAGGAAGGUACAGAGUAUCGUAAACCUCUUUUGUCAGGGAACAAAGACUGGGACGCGUCCCCGGAUGAGUGUACCUGAAGAAAAAGCAUCGGCUAACUCCGUGCCAGCAGCCGCGGUAAUACGGAGGAUGCGAGCGUUAUCCGGAUUUAUUGGGUUUAAAGGGUACGUAGGCGGAAUGCCAAGUCAGGGGUAAAAUCGCGGGGCCCAACCUCGCUCCGCCGUUGAAACUGGCGUUCUUGAGUGGGCGAGAAGUAUGCGGAAUGCGUGGUGUAGCGGUGAAAUGCAUAGAUAUCACGCAGAACUCCGAUUGCGAAGGCAGCAUACCGGCGCCCAACUGACGCUGAAGCACGAAAGCGUGGGUAUCGAACAGGAUUAGAUACCCCAGUA